Molecule: long non-coding RNA, 670 nt
Organism: Rosa rugosa (rugosa rose)
Lineage: Eukaryota; Viridiplantae; Streptophyta; Magnoliopsida; Rosales; Rosaceae
Exons: 2
Source: RefSeq, a predicted model, not a curated record
ACGAAAAUAAAGGGACAAAACGGGACCAAACCAUCCCAGCCGUUGGAUCUUAAUUCAGUUGAUCUAAUGGAUAGAAUAGCAAACCAUUAAAACAUUUUCUUUUAACCCAUUAUCCAAUCCAGUUUAGUCUCAACCAAGACUCCACGUUCAAUCUUUGGGUUAUUCCUCCUCCCUCGUCUCAACUCUCUAUCCUCCCUCAGAGCCUCCCAUAUACCAGCAAUGAAAUCAUCCUCAUCAUCAUAAGACUGGUCUAUCUUGAAAGUCAGGGUACAGUUCCUGUCUGCUGAAGGCAAAACCCUUGCCAGUUUGAGCCAUCCAUGCAUGUUAUAUUUUAAAAGUGAGCCAUCCGUGCAGAAUACAAUCCUAGCGCUGGUAUUCCCUAAAUAUACGAUGCAUCCAUGACCCUUGAAUCAGAACUUCCCCUGUUUAAAAGGAUUAUAUGGAACUGGAGGAGAACUUUAUUUGUUUGCUGUAAAAGUAGGAGAGAUACUAAUUCAACCAGUUACUUGAACAAGUUGAUUAGUUAGCUUAAAUUCUUUUCUGAUAUUUGUGUUGGAUGUACCUGUUGGGAAAUAUGAAAUUCUUAUUAAAUUGAUCGUCUUAUCCUGAUUAGAUGAAACUUGAUAGUUUGUACUGAGGAGAAGAAAUAAUAAAGUUUGUUUUUGUAGUU